AUUGAACGCUGGCGGCAGGCCUAACACAUGCAAGUCGAGCGGAUGAAGGGAGCUUGCUCCUGGAUUCAGCGGCGGACGGGUGAGUAAUGCCUAGGAAUCUGCCUGGUAGUGGGGGAUAACGUCCGGAAACGGGCGCUAAUACCGCAUACGUCCUGAGGGAGAAAGUGGGGGAUCUUCGGACCUCACGCUAUCAGAUGAGCCUAGGUCGGAUUAGCUAGUUGGUGGGGUAAAGGCCUACCAAGGCGACGAUCCGUAACUGGUCUGAGAGGAUGAUCAGUCACACUGGAACUGAGACACGGUCCAGACUCCUACGGGAGGCAGCAGUGGGGAAUAUUGGACAAUGGGCGAAAGCCUGAUCCAGCCAUGCCGCGUGUGUGAAGAAGGUCUUCGGAUUGUAAAGCACUUUAAGUUGGGAGGAAGGGCAGUAAGUCAAUACCUUGCUGUUUUGACGUUACCAACAGAAUAAGCACCGGCUAACUUCGUA
Molecule: ribosomal RNA, 484 nt
Filed under: uncultured bacterium
Lineage: Bacteria
Description: partial 16S ribosomal RNA
Rfam family: Bacterial small subunit ribosomal RNA
Source: RNAcentral